Molecule: unclassified non-coding RNA, 218 nt
Filed under: Fonsecaea pedrosoi
Lineage: Eukaryota; Fungi; Ascomycota; Eurotiomycetes; Chaetothyriales; Herpotrichiellaceae
Description: ITS1
Source: RNAcentral
AAGGAUCAUUAAUGAGUUAGGGUCUCCUAGGCCCGACCUCCCAACCCUUUGCUUACUAGACCUCAGUUGCUUUGGCAGGCCCGUCUUAAUCUGACCGCUGGAGGACCGCCUAAUGCGGGUGUUACCUCUGGCCAGUGUCUGCCGAUAGCCUAAUCUCCUAACUCUGGAUCAAUCAUGAUUUACAAUGUCUAAGUGAUUUUAUUCAAUUAAAAGCAAAA